This 283-nucleotide ribosomal RNA is filed under the name uncultured bacterium. RNAcentral's name for it is "partial 16S ribosomal RNA". It matches the Rfam family "Bacterial small subunit ribosomal RNA", at positions 335 to 635 of the family's 1533-position model. The record is from RNAcentral.
AACCUACGGGAGGCAGCAGUGGGGAAUAUUGCACAAUGGGGGGAACCCUGAUGCAGCGACGCCGCGUGAAGGAAGAAGUAUUUCGGUAUGUAAACUUCUAUCAGCAGGGAAGAAAAAGGACGGUACCUGACUAAGAAGCCCCGGCUAACUACGUGCCAGCAGCCGCGGUAAUACGUAGGGGGCAAGCGUUAUCCGGAUUUACUGGGUGUAAAGGGAGCGUAGACGGCGCGGCAAAUCUGAAGUGAAGGGCAGGGGCUUAACCCCUGAACUGCUUUGGAAACUG